RNAcentral lists this ribosomal RNA (122 nucleotides) under Neogale vison (American mink). The record is from RNAcentral. Lineage: Eukaryota; Metazoa; Chordata; Mammalia; Carnivora; Mustelidae.
GUCUACGGCCAUACCACCCUGAACGUGCCCGAUCUCGUCCGCUCUCAGAAGCUAAGCAGGGUCGGGCCUGGUUAGUACUUGGAUGGGAAAGAUAUCCAAGCAGUGCCUGGGUGGCUCAGUCA